CGAAGUUUAUUUUCUUUAUUUAUUAAUUAGAUUAAUUUAUUUAUUUAUUUUCUUUAUUUUGAAGUGGGCACAAUUCGAUUAGUUCUAUUGCAAUUAUUAGGUUGCAAUAUAUUUUAAGAUAAUGAUUUUAGAAAUAAUAGUUUUAGUUGCAAUAGGAUACGACUUUAUGUUUUCCAAAAUCAAAACACUAUCUUUUGGUUAAGACUUACUCUCAAGGAUUAACAAUUGCAGUACACGUUUUUUUAUAAUAAAUAAAAGGAUUUAUACAUAUAUUUUUUCAUAGUUAUCAACAACACUAAGAAUUUGUAUAAAUAGGAGUUAAUUAUUUCAUUGUGGGGGACGAAAAGUUAUAG
Molecule: long non-coding RNA, 353 nt
Filed under: Salvia miltiorrhiza (redroot sage)
Lineage: Eukaryota; Viridiplantae; Streptophyta; Magnoliopsida; Lamiales; Lamiaceae
Description: long non-coding RNA (SMIL_LNC003646)
Source: RNAcentral